Molecule: long non-coding RNA, 271 nt
Filed under: Citrus x clementina
Lineage: Eukaryota; Viridiplantae; Streptophyta; Magnoliopsida; Sapindales; Rutaceae
Description: Citrus clementina (C. clementina) long non-coding RNA (CCLE_LNC006636)
Source: RNAcentral
UUUUUUAUAAGUUAUACCCGAUCGGUUUUAAUGAAUUUGAUCCCCAACCUUCUCCGUGCUUUGGCAGCGGAAGAGAUAAUGACUCUUUCAAACGGUCAACGACGGCCUCUGAUUGAAAUCCACCACUUGAUUCGGCUCGCAGGUCUAGGAUUUGCAUACAGAGAAAGUGAGAUGCGGUGACGACUAGUGGUUGAUGGAAAGGACCGUAACGGGCAUAGGAUGAAGACGGUGAUGACUGCUUGUUUGCUGGCUUGUGAGGGUUUGACGUGAG